Molecule: non-coding RNA, 471 nt
Filed under: Pan troglodytes (chimpanzee)
Lineage: Eukaryota; Metazoa; Chordata; Mammalia; Primates; Hominidae
Source: RNAcentral
CCUAGCAUCAGUGAAUGACCUGUUGCAGUGCUUUCAUUGAAGUGUUCUUCAUUCCCUCAGCAAUAUGAUUUUAUAGCUGAGGUGGUUACCAGUUUAAGAAGUGAGAACUUCUUCACUGACUGAAAUUUGCAUAUCAAUCCAAAUCAUUGUGCUUGUUUACUAUUUUUGUAGACGUCAUUCUUCAAAAGUGCUGCAUCUUUCAUAGUCAAGGAGGACAAAGACAUCUUUCCUGCAGGUGGUGACCAUGUGGAUAAUAGGAUCAUAGACAAAUGGUGGUUCCAUCUACAGCAUCACCAAAAUGCUGUUGUUACUGCUUCUUUCUGGGAUCUUCUUGCAUCUUUGCUUCUAAAGGGGCACACCUUUUAUAGAAGUAUGUCCAGGAAUAGAAGUGACCUGCUUUUUCGCAAGUAAUUGCCUGGAAUGUUUUUAUGUACUUCUCUGCACUCUCAAUACAUUUCAUGCUUCCCUCUA